Molecule: non-coding RNA, 88 nt
Filed under: Microcebus murinus (gray mouse lemur)
Lineage: Eukaryota; Metazoa; Chordata; Mammalia; Primates; Cheirogaleidae
Source: RNAcentral
GGCUGGUCCCAUGGUUAUCAGAACUUAUUAACAUUAGUGUCACUAAUGUUGGUAUUCAACCCCCCACUGCUAAAUUUGACUGGCAAAA